RNAcentral lists this non-coding RNA (23 nucleotides) under Arabidopsis thaliana (thale cress). Lineage: Eukaryota; Viridiplantae; Streptophyta; Magnoliopsida; Brassicales; Brassicaceae. The record is from RNAcentral.
GAUAGGAGCCCAUACCACCAAGA